GUUUUUUUUAAUUAAAUCGAGCUUGAAUAUAUAUAAUAUGUUGAAAAAAAAAAUGCACAAAAAAAAAGAUAAUAGUAUUAAAACAAUAAAAAAAGAAAAUAAAAUUAAAAAAAGAAUAAACGUUAAAAUAAGAUUAAAUAGUACAGAUGAUUUACUAGGUGGAAGUUAUAUAUCAAUGAAUUGUAAUAAAUCCAUAAAAUACAACAUUUUAUCUAAUCCUAUUUAUAUAACAAAUAAAGAAAAAAAAAAAAAAAAAAAACUUUUUGUUAUGUUAAAUGAAGAACAUGUAUCAAACACUUUGGAGUAUAUAAAUAUUAUAAAAAAAUUAAAUAAUUAUGAUAGGAAAGAUUUUCUUUUUGUAGCUAGCCGUUCCUUUGAUUUUGAAAAACUAAGUAAAAAAUUCCAGAUAUAUUUUAAUUUGAAUCAUAAUUUAAAAAUUUUUAAUACACUGUUAUUAACUUAUCAUGUAGGUGAUCUUGUGUGUAAUAGUAAUAAUAAUAAUAAUAAUAAUAAUAAUAAUAAUAAUAAUGUACAAAAUGAUGGAAAAAACAAAACAAAAAAAAAUGGAAGGGAAAAUGAUGACUUGCUCCAUGUCAACCCUAUUUAUGAUAUAAUGCGCAAAUGUGUUAACAAAAGAUGGAAGGUACACAAAAAUAUAGUACUAAAAAAACAAAACAUAUUUAAUGGUAAUCGUGGUAACAUUGUUUUCAAAUAUUACAGUGAAAAAAAAAUGAAAGCAGCACAUAGGAAAUAUUUGAAAAAACAUAGUAGUGAUGAGCAAAUGGAGAAUAGACGCAGAACACGGAGUAGUACAAUAUCUGAUACUAGUAGCGGUAGUUAUGAUGGCAGAAGUGGUAAUAACCAUAAUACAAGAAUAAAAAAUAGGGGUAAAAAUAAAUUUGAUUUUUUAUCAAAAGAAAAAGCAGAAGUUGUUAAAUUUUUUCAACUUUUUUAUGAUGAAUAUAUAUAUAAAGAUAAGAACAAAGCAUAUGUUAAAACGUUGGUAAAAGAAAGUUUUGACAUUUGUUUUAUAUUUCUUAAAGUAUGUUUUUAUUAUUAUUACUAUGAAUAUAUUAAAAAACAGAAAACCAUUGAAAAGGAUAGUAGUAAAAUACAUAUUCAUAAAUUUAUGUAUUUAAAACAAAUUGAAAUUUUAAAAACAAAUGAAAAUUUGUUUUAUUACAACAUUUGUGUUCCUUCAUGUGUAUACAUUUUUAUUGACAUUUUGAGGAUGCAUUAUCAAAGCGACCCGUUUCGUUCGAUAGAAAAAAAUAAAAUUUGUUCUUUAUUAAAAUUUAUUUUUUAUGCAAUAAUUUAUUACAAAAUCAGAAAAAAAAGUUACGAUUUUUGUUUUACUGAAGAGGAUGUGACAAAUCAUAUAUGCUACUUCAACCGCAGUGUAAUAAUAAAUACGAUCGUACAGUUAUUUGAAAAAAAACAAGAUAAAAAGGAUGUGGAUGUAAAUGGGGAUACAUUUUUUAAGGAUAAUACUAAUCGGAGUAAAAAUGUUGCAAAUAAAAAAUCUGCAUCUCUAAAGUUAACAAAAUUUAGUAAAAAACAUAAAAAAAAUCAGAGUACA
Molecule: long non-coding RNA, 1579 nt
Organism: Piliocolobus tephrosceles (Ugandan red Colobus)
Lineage: Eukaryota; Metazoa; Chordata; Mammalia; Primates; Cercopithecidae
Source: Ensembl